RNAcentral lists this transfer RNA (76 nucleotides) under Candidatus Eiseniibacteriota bacterium. Its description in RNAcentral is "tRNA-Asn". It matches the Rfam family "tRNA". From Rfam's summary of the family: Transfer RNA (tRNA) molecules are approximately 80 nucleotides in length. Their secondary structure includes four short double-helical elements and three loops (D, anti-codon, and T loops). Further hydrogen bonds mediate the characteristic L-shaped molecular structure. tRNAs have two regions of fundamental functional importance: the anti-codon, which is responsible for specific mRNA codon recognition, and the 3' end, to which the tRNAs corresponding amino acid is attached (by aminoacyl-tRNA synthetases). tRNAs cope with the degeneracy of the genetic code in two manners: having more than one tRNA (with a specific anti-codon) for a particular amino acid; and 'wobble' base-pairing, i.e. permitting non-standard base-pairing at the 3rd anti-codon position. RNAcentral also lists the same sequence under 1 other name. The record is from RNAcentral. Lineage: Bacteria; Candidatus Eiseniibacteriota.
UCCUCAGUAGCUCAAUCGGUAGAGCAUCCGGCUGUUAACCGGAGGGUUGUAGGUUCGAGUCCUACCUGAGGAGCCA